AAACUCCACCAAAUCAAAGUACAUGCUAUCUACUUUAUUGUUUGUUUGUCCAUGUAAUUCAAAUCCCAAAUACAGAAAAUUAUUUUAAUUCUGUGUAAACUCUGCAUCAUGCUGCAGAACUGAUCAACAUUUGUGUGGUUCGGUGAUCGAUUGAAUUCUCAAUAAAUUUCUCAAGUCCAGUACAUCAUACUCCCGAUAC
Molecule: long non-coding RNA, 199 nt
Filed under: Oryza brachyantha (malo sina)
Lineage: Eukaryota; Viridiplantae; Streptophyta; Magnoliopsida; Poales; Poaceae
Description: long non-coding RNA (OBRA_LNC003239)
Source: RNAcentral